Molecule: long non-coding RNA, 468 nt
Filed under: Ornithorhynchus anatinus (platypus)
Lineage: Eukaryota; Metazoa; Chordata; Mammalia; Monotremata; Ornithorhynchidae
Description: lncRNA (ENSOANG00000046011.1)
Source: RNAcentral
UCACCUCGCUCUAAUCCCCUGGACUCCUUUCCAAUCUAGAAGGACCAGUGACAUCUGCAAGACUAAAUAAAGAUUCUCUGGAGCUCUAGUGAGCGGUUGUGUGGCAAAUCGGGAGGCUGAAGGGACUGCCGGUUGCCAACAAGGGGGAUUUCAGAGUCUGAGCUGUUUGUUUGACUUGCCGCCUGUCCCAGAAGAUGUGGACCCAGUUGUCCGGGAGCAGAAGCUGCUGAGGGAGCCGGGUCGGCUCAGGCAGGUACGGUGUUCUGCACACAGUAGAUGCUCAAUAAAUACCAAUGAUCGAACAGAUAUACACAAAUGCUAGGGGAUUAUUGGAGGAGUUGUGACCUGAGGCAGGUGGAGUCAUUUCAGGAAGACUUCCUGAAGAGGUGAGAUUUUGGCAAGAAUUCGUUUGAAGAAGGGAAGGGCGCACAGUUUGGCAAAGGGAAGGGUGGGGGCAGGCGGGGAUCG